UUUAUGGAGAGUUUGAUCCUGGCUCAGGAUGAACGCUGGCGGCGUGCCUAAUACAUGCAAGUCGAGCGAACGGACGAGAAGCUUGCUUCUCUGAUGUUAGCGGCGGACGGGUGAGUAACACGUGGAUAACCUACCUAUAAGACUGGGAUAACUUCGGGAAACCGUAGCUAAUACCGGAUAAUAUUUUGAACCGCAUGGUUCAAAAGUGAAAGACGGUCUUGCUGUCACUUAUAGAUGGAUCCGCGCUGCAUUAGCUAGUUGGUAAGGUAACGGCUUACCAAGGCAACGAUGCAUAGCCGACCUGAGAGGGUGAUCGGCCACACUGGAACUGAGACACGGUCCAGACUCCUACGGGAGGCAGCAGUAGGGAAUCUUCCGCAAUGGGCGAAAGCCUGACGGAGCAACGCCGCGUGAGUGAUGAAGGUCUUCGGAUCGUAAAACUCUGUUAUUAGGGAAGAACAUAUGUGUAAGUAACUGUGCACAUCUUGACGGUACCUAAUCAGAAAGCCACGGCUAACUACGUGCCAGCAGCCGCGGUAAUACGUAGGUGGCAAGCGUUAUCCGGAAUUAUUGGGCGUAAAGCGCGCGUAGGCGGUUUUUUAAGUCUGAUGUGAAAGCCCACGGCUCAACCGUGGAGGGUCAUUGGAAACUGGAAAACUUGAGUGCAGAAGAGGAAAGUGGAAUUCCAUGUGUAGCGGUGAAAUGCGCAGAGAUAUGGAGGAACACCAGUGGCGAAGGCGACUUUCUGGUCUGUAACUGACGCUGAUGUGCGAAAGCGUGGGGAUCAAACAGGAUUAGAUACCCUGGUAGUCCACGCCGUAAACGAUGAGUGCUAAGUGUUAGGGGGUUUCCGCCCCUUAGUGCUGCAGCUAACGCAUUAAGCACUCCGCCUGGGGAGUACGACCGCAAGGUUGAAACUCAAAGGAAUUGACGGGGACCCGCACAAGCGGUGGAGCAUGUGGUUUAAUUCGAAGCAACGCGAAGAACCUUACCAAAUCUUGACAUCCUUUGACAACUCUAGAGAUAGAGCCUUCCCCUUCGGGGGACAAAGUGACAGGUGGUGCAUGGUUGUCGUCAGCUCGUGUCGUGAGAUGUUGGGUUAAGUCCCGCAACGAGCGCAACCCUUAAGCUUAGUUGCCAUCAUUAAGUUGGGCACUCUAAGUUGACUGCCGGUGACAAACCGGAGGAAGGUGGGGAUGACGUCAAAUCAUCAUGCCCCUUAUGAUUUGGGCUACACACGUGCUACAAUGGACAAU
This 1256-nucleotide ribosomal RNA is filed under the name Staphylococcus aureus. RNAcentral's name for it is "bacterial SSU rRNA". It matches the Rfam family "Bacterial small subunit ribosomal RNA", at positions 1 to 1238 of the family's 1533-position model. Lineage: Bacteria; Bacillati; Bacillota; Bacilli; Caryophanales; Staphylococcaceae. The record is from RNAcentral.